Molecule: long non-coding RNA, 1433 nt
Filed under: Pan troglodytes (chimpanzee)
Lineage: Eukaryota; Metazoa; Chordata; Mammalia; Primates; Hominidae
Description: long non-coding RNA NONPTRT008163
Source: RNAcentral
CCCACCUGGGCGACAGAGCAAGACUCCGUCUCAAAAAAGGUGGUUGGCGUUGGUGUACUAGGGCAGGAGCUAUAGGCAGACUUCGAAAUUUGAACUGGCUCGAAAAGGGCAAAGAGAUGGGCAAGGGCAGAAAACUGGAUUUAACUGUGGCUGGGAUUAGCGUUCUGAGGUGCAACCUAGUGGGGCAAAUUAGAAUAGACAUGCGGACCCGAUCAGCAUUUUGGGACCGAGGAAGUGCGAGCAAGAGGCCAAGCCCCUCUCCACCUACACUCCGUAAGAAGGCAGGCCCCGAAGGCCAGGAGACGGCGGAGAUCACCGACUUCCAGAGGGCCUCCCCGAAUUCCUGAAGACGCUGCUGGGAGGGGACUGAAGCUUCCCCGCCUUGAUGGGGAGGGGGCGUGAGGAGGGGUUUAUCUGGAUUUCCAGGCUGUGUUCUUUCUACCCCAGAGCCUAGUCUGGACCCCUUGGCUCUAGGGAGAGGGAAAAGCUGACCGUUGGGGAGGAGCUGGGAGAAGGGGCGCGAUUGCGGUGAGGGGCGGAGCUGGAACCUCGGGGCCUGAGGUGCUGAGGAUACCUGAAAGCGGGCUGAGAGUGUGCUGGAGGAGGCGGGUCCCGCGGGGGCGGAGCUAGGCUGCCUGGGCGGGGCCGGAAUCCUGACAGGCGGAGUUAGAGCGGGGGGCGGGGUCAGCGCGCGCGGGUGGGGCUCUGGCCAUGGGCAUGGGGCGGGGCCGUCAGCGGGGGCGUGGUCGGGGUGUCGCGCGGGAACCCGCGGGGGAGGAGAGCGGGGAUUCCGGAACUAGAGUGUGGGAGCCAGAGGCCGUAGCGGGCAGGGCUCGAGCACUGGAGUAGAGCAGUCCGACAGGUAGAGAGAGAAGUGAGACUGGCUGCGGCACAGGGCGGGUUAGGGCUUCAGGCAGGGCUUGAGCGGGACGAGGGGGCGGGCUCCGAGGCGGGCUAGAUCCCUGGGCUGGAUGAAGUCCGAGUCUGGGAAGAGAACCGUGUUGUGGCAGGAGGAGGCGGUGAUUGGGGUGGUGGGGCUAAGCGCGGGGCCGGGGCUGGAGCGAGGGGGGCGGGGUAGCACCUCCGCCUGUCGGUGGUGGGGCGGAGGCUGGAGGGGGUGGGCCUAGGAUGCGGAGGCGGCAGCUCGCGUGGGGGCGUGACCAUGCCUGCCGGGGGCGGGGCCGGAGGCGGGCGGUUUAGAGAGCGGGGCGGUCCUGCGGGGUGGGGGCGGGGCCUGUGCGGGCUGCAGCGCGGAGCCGAGUGGGCUGCGGGGAUGCGGGGGACCAGCUGUGUGGGCGGCGGCGCCGAGAGCCCCGGCGGCGCGGGGUUGAGCGAGGGCCCGCGGGGGCGCUGGCUGCGCUUGGCUCCGGUAUGCGCCUACUUCCUCUGCGUCUCGCUGGCUGCCGUGCUGCUCGCCGUGUACUACGGUCUCA